Molecule: long non-coding RNA, 465 nt
Organism: Esox lucius (northern pike)
Lineage: Eukaryota; Metazoa; Chordata; Actinopteri; Esociformes; Esocidae
Exons: 3
Source: RefSeq, a predicted model, not a curated record
CAUCACCUAGACCUCACCCAUAAUUCAUGAAAGUGAGCUGAUUGAUCCGGUUACAAGGUAGCCACCUCCAAAUUUAAACCUAAUCAUCAUGACCAAACUAAUAUCCGUGUGGCAUUUAAAUGAAAUUUUGCUGGAUCAGGAGGCUGUGCGAGUUUAGCUGGCAAAUAUUUUCCAUCAGUUCUACUGGUGGAACACCAAAAAGAGGAAUCCACUACAUAGGCACAGUCCGAAUGAACAGGAAUGAACCACCAACCAAGGUUGCAGCAGAACUGGACCAUGGAGAAACUACUCAGGGACAAGGAGCUGGUCUCUGAGGAGGAGUACCUCCGUGGUCUAGAUCCAGCCCCACAGUCCUGCCCCACAGCCAUGACAUGUCAAAAGGAAACAAACCAACUGAAAUGUUCCAAACCCAAUGAAAAAAAAUGGUGUUCCAAAAAUAAACAUUGUUGUGAUAAAUAAAUUGCC